Long non-coding RNA from Pan troglodytes (chimpanzee), 840 nucleotides. RefSeq lists it as uncharacterized. NCBI's taxonomy places the organism in Eukaryota, Metazoa, Chordata, Mammalia, Primates, Hominidae. The transcript is spliced from 3 exons. The record is from RefSeq and is a predicted model, not a curated record.
AGAGAGUAAGGACCAGGUCUUCUAUUUCUUUCUUACAUCCCUCCUCCUCACCCUGCUCUGUGUCUAGAAGAGAGCUGAACACGCAGUAGAUUUUCAAGUGAGCAGGAAACCGGGAAAGAUAAAUGAAAAGUUGAGUGGUAUUGUUAAAGGACAAAUGGUCUCUACGGCUGUAAGGUAACAUAUAAUUAACCUCAGAUUCAGGCCAGGACUCAGAUAAUAGAAGUGCUCAAUUCAAAAGAAACUCACAAACCACCUGAAAUAACACAAUAAAUUAUAUUCAAAUGGCAGUCAAGGAGGAAACUUUUCUUCCUCAUCAACAAAGCUGAUCGAUGGGGGCUGAAGCCCCAGGGAAGAAGCAUCUGUUGUAACUCAAGGAUCCCGGCUUGAGCUGAGGAUGGAAUUAACAGGCACAGAGUGGUUGGCAGCCCAACGUUUGUGCAAGUCUGGCACAUGCACACAUCAUUAGCAACUAUGCUGGAGAAGAAUGAUCAAGGAGGUGAGGAGGAGAAUGGAUCUGAUUAAAGGGAUGUUCAAGAAAGGAAAUUCCAAGCACUUGGGUAAAAGCUUCAUAGCUAAAAUGAAUGAACUCAUGAGCAAAGCAAACAGCCAGGUACAUUUGGGAGAUGCUGACAGACAAUCUGGAUAAUUUUGCCUCUGAAACUUUCAAAACACAGUCAUUUCAUGCAGUGAAUUCCCCAGAGUGGCUGCCUCUUUCACUUAGCUCCUUCGGCUGUGUCUCCUUCACUAAAAUGAAGCCCCCAUGAAGGCAAAAAUUUUGCUGUCUUGUUCACGGCUCCAAUCUUGGCUCCUGGUUGAGAAUAUUAAAUAUUCAUGGAAUAA